AGACCCGAAACCCGGUGAUCUAGCCAUGGGCAGGUUGAAGGUUGGGUAACACUAACUGGAGGACCGAACCGACUAAUGUUGAAAAAUUAGCGGAUGACCUGUGGCUGGGGGUGAAAGGCCAAUCAAACCGGGAGAUAGCUGGUUCUCCCCGAAAGCUAUUUAGGUAGCGCCUCGUGAAUUCAUCUCCGGGGGUAGAGCACUGUUUCGGCUAGGGGGCCAUCCCGGCUUACCAACCCGAUGCAAACUGCGAAUACCGGAGAAUGUUAUCACGGGAGACACACGGCGGGUGCUAACGUCCGUCGUGAAGAGGGAAACAACCCAGACCGCCAGCUAAGGUCCCAAAGUCAUGGUUAAGUGGGAAACGAUGUGGGAAGGCCCAGACAGCCAGGAUGUUGGCUUAGAAGCAGCCAUCAUUUAAAGAAAGCGUAAUAGCUCACUGGUCGAGUCGGCCUGCGCGGAAGAUGUAACGGGGCUAAACCAUGCACCGAAGCUGCGGCAGCGACACUCAGGUGUUGUUGGGUAGGGGAGCGUUCUGUAAGCCUGUGAAGGUGUGCUGUGAGGCAUGCUGGAGGUAUCAGAAGUGCGAAUGCUGACAUAAGUAACGAUAAAGCGGGUGAAAAGCCCGCUCGCCGGAAGACCAAGGGUUCCUGUCCAACGUUAAUCGGGGCAGGGUGAGUCGACCCCUAAGGCGAGGCCGAAAGGCGUAGUCGAUGGGAAACGGGUUAAUAUUCCCGUACUUGGUGUUACUGCGAAGGGGGGACGGAGAAGGCUAUGUUGGCCGGGCGACGGUUGUCCCGGUUUAAGCGUGUAGGUGUGUGUUCCAGGUAAAUCCGGUUCACUUUAACACUGAGGCGUGACGACGAGGCACUACGGUGCUGAAGCAACAAAUGCCCUGCUUCCAGGAAAAGCCUCUAAGCAUCAGGUAACAUCAAAUCGUACCCCAAACCGACACAGGUGGUCAGGUAGAGAAUACCAAGGCGCUUGAGAGAACUCGGGUGAAGGAACUAGGCAAAAUGGUGCCGUAACUUCGGGAGAAGGCACGCUGACA
RNAcentral lists this ribosomal RNA (1048 nucleotides) under Salmonella enterica. Its description in RNAcentral is "partial 23S ribosomal RNA". It matches the Rfam family "Bacterial large subunit ribosomal RNA", at positions 711 to 1756 of the family's 2925-position model. RNAcentral also lists the same sequence under 1 other name. Lineage: Bacteria; Pseudomonadati; Pseudomonadota; Gammaproteobacteria; Enterobacterales; Enterobacteriaceae. The record is from RNAcentral.